UACGGAGGAUGCAAGUGUUAUCCGGAAUCACUGGGCGUAAAGGGCGCGUAGGUGGCGACCCAAGUCGAUGGUGAAAGCUCGCCGCUCAACGGCGAGUCGGCCACCGAUACUGGGUUGCUGGAGCACUGUAGAGGCUCAUGGAAUUCCGGGUGUAGCGGUGGAAUGCGUAGAGAUCCGGAAGAACACCGGUGGCGAAGGCGGCUCACUGGACUGGUAUUGACGCUGAGGUACGAAAGCGUGGGGAGCAAACAGG
RNAcentral lists this ribosomal RNA (253 nucleotides) under uncultured bacterium. RNAcentral's name for it is "partial 16S ribosomal RNA". It matches the Rfam family "Bacterial small subunit ribosomal RNA", at positions 524 to 776 of the family's 1533-position model. The record is from RNAcentral.